RNAcentral lists this long non-coding RNA (410 nucleotides) under Solanum tuberosum (potato). RNAcentral's name for it is "long non-coding RNA (STUB_LNC005454)". Lineage: Eukaryota; Viridiplantae; Streptophyta; Magnoliopsida; Solanales; Solanaceae. The record is from RNAcentral.
UUCAUAUCUUUCAUUCUUGGUGAAAGAGGGAGAAGUAAAAUUUUCAAGUCGUCUUUGCUUUUCUUCUGCUCAAGAGGUGCUUAAGCGGCCCUCCUGAAGAAUUUUGAUUUCCACAACAGGGUUUAACAACAACAGCGUCACCUCUUGGCUUACCAGAUACCUUUCUUCUUACUGCUGCAUUUGCUGGAACAACUUUUCUGCUUGCUAUGUUGCUUGGACUCUUCGUGUCGGAUACUCCAAAAGUAGUGCAUUUGAAAAAUUCGAUACGGAUGCAACAACGAUUUAGGAGAGUCCGAGCCAUAUAGCCUGCUAUAACUCUAUUGAAAACACUUAAAGUGGUUUAUGCAAAAUAAGAAAAUUUUGAACAUAUAUGGACCAGUCGACUUUCUAUCCUAAAUACUAAAGUUUUC